This 433-nucleotide ribosomal RNA is filed under the name uncultured bacterium. RNAcentral describes it as "partial 16S ribosomal RNA". It matches the Rfam family "Bacterial small subunit ribosomal RNA", at positions 29 to 507 of the family's 1533-position model. The record is from RNAcentral.
AACGAACGCUGGCGGCAUGCCUAACUCAUGCAAGUCGAACGAGACCUUCGGGUCUAGUGGCGCACGGGUGCGUAACGCGUUGGAACCUGCCCUUAGGUUCGGAAUAACUCCCCGAAAGGGGUGCUAAUACCGGAUAAUGUCUUCGGACCAAAGAUUUAUCGCCUUUGGAUGGGCCCGCGUUGGAUUAGCUAGUUGGUAGGGUAAAAGCCUACCAAGGCGACGAUCCAUAGCUGGUCUGAGAGGAUGAUCAGCCACACUGGGACUGAGACACGGCCCAGAAUCCUACGGGAGGCAGCAGUGGGGAAUAUUGGACAAUGGGCGAAAGCCUGAUCCAGCAAUGACGCGUGAGUGAUGAAGGCCUUAGGGUUGUAAAGCUCUUUUACACGGGAUGAUAAUGACAGUACCGGGAGAAUAAGCUCCGGCUAACUCCGUG